UCCAGAGUUUGAUCAUGGCUCAGGAUGAACGCUGGCGGUAUGCUUAACACAUGCAAGUCGAACGGGGUCCUUCGGGACUUAGUGGCGGACGGGUGAGUAACGCGUGAGGAUCUGGCUUCAGGACGGGGAUAACAUUGGGAAACUGAUGCUAAUACCCGAUAUGGCGAGAGCUGAAAGAUUAAUUGCCUGAAGAUGAACUCGCGUCCGAUUAGCUAGUUGGAGUGGUAAAGGCACCCCAAGGCGAUGAUCGGUAGCUGGUCUGAGAGGAUGAUCAGCCACACUGGGACUGAGACACGGCCCAGACUGCUACGGGAGGCAGCAGUGGGGAAUUUUCCGCAAUGGGCGAAAGCCUGACGGAGCAAUACCGCGUGCGGGAGGACGGCCUUUGGGUUGUAAACCGCUUUUCUCAGGGAAGAAGAUCUGACGGUACCUGAGGAAUCAGCAUCGGCUAACUCCGUGCCAGCAGCCGCGGUAAUACGGAGGAUGCAAGCGUUAUCCGGAAUUAUUGGGCGUAAAGCGUCCGCAGGUGGUUGGUCAAGUCUGCUGUCAAAGCGUGGAGCUUAACUCCAUAAGGGCGGUGGAAACUGAUUAACUAGAGGAUGGUAGGGGUCACGGGAAUUCCCAGUGUAGCGGUGAAAUGCGUAGAUAUUGGGAAGAACACCAGCGGCGAAAGCGCGUGACUGGGCCAUUACUGACACUCAUGGACGAAAGCUAGGGGAGCGAAAGGGAUUAGAUACCCCUGUAGUCCUAGCUGUAAACGAUGGACACUAGGUGUUGCCCGUAUCGACCCGGGCAGUGCCGUAGCCAACGCGUUAAGUGUCCCGCCUGGGGAGUACGCACGCAAGUGUGAAACUCAAAGGAAUUGACGGGGGCCCGCACAAGCGGUGGAGUAUGUGGUUUAAUUCGAUGCAACGCGAAGAACCUUACCAGGGUUUGACAUCCUUCGAAUCCUUGGGAAACCGAGGAGUGCCUUCGGGAGCGAAGAGACAGGUGGUGCAUGGCUGUCGUCAGCUCGUGUCGUGAGAUGUUGGGUUAAGUCCCGCAACGAGCGCAACCCACGUUUUUAGUUGCCAGCAUUYAGUUGGGCACUCUAGAGAGACUGCCGGUGACAAACCGGAGGAAGGUGUGGAUGACGUCAAGUCAGCAUGCCCCUUACAUCCUGGGCUACACACGUACUACAAUGCUUCGGACAGAGGGUUGCGAGCGCGCGAGUGCAAGCUAAUCCCGGAAACCGAGGCACAGUUCAGAUUGCAGGCUGCAACUCGCCUGCAUGAAGGCGGAAUCGCUAGUAAUCGCCGGUCAGCAUACGGCGGUGAAUACGUUCCCGGGCCUUGUACACACCGCCCGUCACACCAUGGGAGUUGGCCACGCCCGAAGUUGUUACCCUAACCAUUCGUGGAGGGGGGCACCUAAGGCAGGGCUGAUGACUGGGGUGAAGUCGU
This 1442-nucleotide ribosomal RNA is filed under the name Pseudanabaena sp. NSJ. Its description in RNAcentral is "bacterial SSU rRNA". It matches the Rfam family "Bacterial small subunit ribosomal RNA". The record is from RNAcentral. Lineage: Bacteria; Bacillati; Cyanobacteriota; Cyanophyceae; Pseudanabaenales; Pseudanabaenaceae.